AAUAGAUACCCGGGUAGUCCACGCCGUAAACGAUGGAUACUAGCUGUUUGAGCGCAAGUUUGAGUGGCUAAGCGAAAGUGAUAAGUAUCCCACCUGGGGAGUACGGGCGCAAGCCUGAAACUCAAAGGAAUUGACGGGGGCCCGCACAAGCGGUGGAGCAUGUGGUUUAAUUCGAUGAUACGCGAGGAACCUUACCAGGGCUUAAAUGUAGAUUGACGUAUUUGGAAACAGAUAUUUCUUCGGACAAUUUACAAGGUGCUGCAUGGUUGUCGUCAGCUCGUGCCGUGAGGUGUCAGGUUAAGUCCUAUAACGAGCGCAACCCCUGUUGUUAGUUGCCAGCGAGUAAUGUCGGGAACUCUAGCAAGACUGCCAGUGUAAACUGUGAGGAAGGUGGGGAUGACGUCAAAUCAUCACGGCCCUUACGUCCUGGGCCACACACGUGCUACAAUGGCCGGUACAGAGAGCAGCCACUUAGCGAUAAGGAGCGAAUCUAUAAAGCCGGUCACAGUUCGGAUCGGAGU
RNAcentral lists this ribosomal RNA (521 nucleotides) under uncultured bacterium. Its description in RNAcentral is "bacterial SSU rRNA". It matches the Rfam family "Bacterial small subunit ribosomal RNA", at positions 777 to 1304 of the family's 1533-position model. The record is from RNAcentral.